RNAcentral lists this ribosomal RNA (353 nucleotides) under Streptococcus sp. oral taxon 064. RNAcentral describes it as "bacterial SSU rRNA". It matches the Rfam family "Bacterial small subunit ribosomal RNA", at positions 99 to 442 of the family's 1533-position model. The record is from RNAcentral. Lineage: Bacteria; Bacillati; Bacillota; Bacilli; Lactobacillales; Streptococcaceae.
CGAACGGGUGAGUAAACGCGUAGGUAACCUGCCUGGUAGCGGGGGAUAACUAUUGGAAACGAUAGCUAAUACCGCAUAAUAGUAGAUGUUGCAUGACAUUUGCUUAAAAGGUGCAAUUGCAUCACUACCAGAUGGACCUGCGUUGUAUUAGCUAGUUGGUGAGGUAACGGCUCACCAAGGCAACGAUACAUAGCCGACCUGAGAGGGUGAUCGGCCACACUGGGACUGAGACACGGCCCAGACUCCUACGGGAGGCAGCAGUAGGGAAUCUUCGGCAAUGGACGGAAGUCUGACCGAGCAACGCCGCGUGAGUGAAGAAAGGUUUUUCGGAUCGUAAAAGCUUCUGUUGUAAA